This 467-nucleotide ribosomal RNA is filed under the name uncultured bacterium. RNAcentral describes it as "partial 16S ribosomal RNA". It matches the Rfam family "Bacterial small subunit ribosomal RNA", at positions 28 to 507 of the family's 1533-position model. The record is from RNAcentral.
GACGAACGCUGGCGGCGUGCUUAACACAUGCAAGUCGAACGGAAAGGCCUCUUUCGGGGGGUACUCGAGUGGCGAACGGGUGAGUAACACGUGAGUAACCUGCCCUUGACUUUGGGAUAACUUCAGGAAACUGGGGCUAAUACCGGAUAGGAGCUCCUGCUGCACGGUGGGGGUUGGAAAGUUUCGGCGGUUGGGGAUGGACUCGCGGCUUAUCAGCUUGUUGGUGGGGUAGUGGCUUACCAAGGCUUUGACGGGUAGCCGGCCUGAGAGGGUGACCGGCCACAUUGGGACUGAGGUACGGCCCAGACUCCUACGGGAGGCAGCAGUGGGGAAUAUUGCACAAUGGGUGGAAGCCUGAUGCAGCAACGCCGUGUGCGGGAUGACGGCCUUCGGGUUGGAAACCGCUUUCGCUCAUGACGAAGCUUUGUGUGACGGUAGUGGGUAAAGAAGCACCGGCUAACUACGUG